UCGUACGCUUCUUUUUCACCGGAGCUUGCUCCACCGGAAAAAGAAGAGUGGCGAACGGGUGAGUAACACGUGGGUAACCUGCCCAUCAGAAGGGGAUAACACUUGGAAACAGGUGCUAAUACCGUAUAACAAUCGAAACCGCAUGGUUUUGAUUUGAAAGGCGCUUUCGGGUGUCGCUGAUGGAUGGACCCGCGGUGCAUUAGCUAGUUGGUGAGGUAACGGCUCACCAAGGCCACGAUGCAUAGCCGACCUGAGAGGGUGAUCGGCCACAUUGGGACUGAGACACGGCCCAAACUCCUACGGGAGGCAGCAGUAGGGAAUCUUCGGCAAUGGACGAAAGUCUGACCGAGCAACGCCGCGUGAGUGAAGAAGGUUUUCGGAUCGUAAAACUCUGUUGUUAGAGAAGAACAAGGAUGAGAGUAACUGUUCAUCCCUUGACGGUAUCUAACCAGAAAGCCACGGCUAACUACGUGCCAGCAGCCGCGGUAAUACGUAGGUGGCAAGCGUUGUCCGGAUUUAUUGGGCGUAAAGCGAGCGCAGGCGGUUUCUUAAGUCUGAUGUGAAAGCCCCCGGCUCAACCGGGGAGGGUCAUUGGAAACUGGGAGACUUGAGUGCAGAAGAGGAGAGUGGAAUUCCAUGUGUAGCGGUGAAAUGCGUAGAUAUAUGGAGGAACACCAGUGGCGAAGGCGGCUCUCUGGUCUGUAACUGACGCUGAGGCUCGAAAGCGUGGGGAGCAAACAGGAUUAGAUACCCUGGUAGUCCACGCCGUAAACGAUGAGUGCUAAGUGUUGGAGGGUUUCCGCCCUUCAGUGCUGCAGCUAACGCAUUAAGCACUCCGCCUGGGGAGUACGACCGCAAGGUUGAAACUCAAAGGAAUUGACGGGGGCCCGCACAAGCGGUGGAGCAUGUGGUUUAAUUCGAAGCAACGCGAAGAACCUUACCAGGUCUUGACAUCCUUUGACCACUCUAGAGAUAGAGCUUCCCCUUCGGGGGCAAAGUGACAGGUGGUGCAUGGUUGUCGUCAGCUCGUGUCGUGAGAUGUUGGGUUAAGUCCCGCAACGAGCGCAACCCUUAUUGUUAGUUGCCAUCAUUCAGUUGGGCACUCUAGCAAGACUGCCGGUGACAAACCGGAGGAAGGUGGGGAUGACGUCAAAUCAUCAUGCCCCUUAUGACCUGGGCUACACACGUGCUACAAUGGGAAGUACAACGAGUCGCGAAGUCGCGAGGCUAAGCUAAUCUCUUAAAGCUUCUCUCAGUUCGGAUUGUAGGCUGCAACUCGCCUACAUGAAGCCGGAAUCGCUAGUAAUCGCGGAUCAGCACGCCGCGGUGAAUACGUUCCCGGGCCUUGUACACACCGCC
Molecule: ribosomal RNA, 1359 nt
Filed under: Enterococcus durans
Lineage: Bacteria; Bacillati; Bacillota; Bacilli; Lactobacillales; Enterococcaceae
Description: bacterial SSU rRNA
Rfam family: Bacterial small subunit ribosomal RNA
Source: RNAcentral